Caenorhabditis elegans is the source of this 21-nucleotide non-coding RNA. NCBI's taxonomy places the organism in Eukaryota, Metazoa, Nematoda, Chromadorea, Rhabditida, Rhabditidae. The record is from Ensembl.
UAAUGCGUUGUCGCUAUAGCA